UACGAAGGGGGCUAGCGUUGUUCGGAAUUACUGGGCGUAAAGCGUGCGUAGGUUGUUAUUCAAGUUAGUGGUGAAAGCCCAGGGCUUAACUCUGGAACUGCCAUUAAAACUGAAUAGCUAGAGAGUGUUAGAGGUAAGUGGAAUUCCUAGUGUAGGAGUGAAAUCCGUAGAUAUUAGGAGGAACAUCAAUGGCGAAGGCAGCUUACUGGGUCACAUCUGACACUGAGGCACGAAAGCGUGGGUAGCAAACAGGAUUAGAUACCCUGGUAGUCCACGCCCUAAACGAUGGGUGCUAGAUGUCGGGACAUUAGUUUCGGCGUCGUAGUUAACGCGUUAAGCACCCCGCCUGGGGAGUACGGUCGCAAGAUUAAA
This 372-nucleotide ribosomal RNA is filed under the name uncultured bacterium. RNAcentral's name for it is "bacterial SSU rRNA". It matches the Rfam family "Bacterial small subunit ribosomal RNA", at positions 524 to 898 of the family's 1533-position model. The record is from RNAcentral.